This 724-nucleotide ribosomal RNA is filed under the name uncultured Fusobacterium sp. RNAcentral's name for it is "bacterial SSU rRNA". It matches the Rfam family "Bacterial small subunit ribosomal RNA", at positions 28 to 776 of the family's 1533-position model. The record is from RNAcentral. Lineage: Bacteria; Fusobacteriati; Fusobacteriota; Fusobacteriia; Fusobacteriales; Fusobacteriaceae.
GAUGAACGCUGACAGAAUGCUUAACACAUGCAAGUCGACUCGAGUCUUCGGACUUGGGUGGCGCACGGGUGAGUAACGCGUAAAGAACUUGCCUCUUAGACCGGGACAACAUCUGGAAACGGAUGCUAAUACCGGAUAUUAUGGUUUUUUCGCAUGGAGGAAUCAUGAAAGCUGGAUGCGCUAAGAGAGAGCUUUGCGUCCCAUUAGCUAGUUGGUGAGGUAACGGCCCACCAAGGCAAUGAUGGGUAGCCGGCCUGAGAGGGUGAUCGGCCACAAGGGGACUGAGACACGGCCCUUACUCCUACGGGAGGCAGCAGUGGGGAAUAUUGGACAAUGGACCGCAAGUCUGAUCCAGCAAUUCUGUGUGCACGAUGACGUUUUUCGGAAUGUAAAGUGCUUUCAGUCGGGAAGAAGUCAGUGACGGUACCGACAGAAGAAGCGACAGCUAAAUACGUGCCAGCAGCCGCGGUAAUACGUAUGUCGCAAGCGUUAUCCGGAUUUAUUGGGCGUAAAGCGCGUCUAGGCGGCAAGGAAAGUCUGAUGUGAAAAUGCGGAGCUCAACUCCGUAUGGCGUUGGAAACUGCCUUACUAGAGUACUGGAGAGGUAGGCGGAACUACAAGUGUAGAGGUGAAAUUCGUAGAUAUUUGUAGGAAUGCCGAUGGGGAAGCCAGCCUACUGGACAGAUACUGACGCUAAAGCGCGAAAGCGUGGGUAGCAAACAGG